UGGCCCUACGGGGGGCAGCAGUGGGGAAUAUUGCGCAAUGGGCGAAAGCCUGACGCAGCGACGCCGCGUGAGGGAUGAAGGUCUUCGGAUCGUAAACCUCUGUCAGCAGGGAAGAACGGUCACUGUGCUAAUCAGCAGUGAAUUGACGGUACCUGACCAAGAAGCCCCGGCUAACUACGUGCCAGCAGCCGCGGUAAUACGUAGGGGGCAAGCGUUAUCCGGAAUUACUGGGUGUAAAGGGAGCGUAGACGGUGAUGCAAGUCUGGAGUGAAAGGCGGGGGCCCAACCCCCGGAGUGCUCUGGAA
Molecule: ribosomal RNA, 305 nt
Filed under: uncultured bacterium
Lineage: Bacteria
Description: bacterial SSU rRNA
Rfam family: Bacterial small subunit ribosomal RNA
Source: RNAcentral